GCCGCCGCGGCGGUCGGCCUCGCCGAUCGCGGCCGGCUCGCGCCCGGCCUGCGCGCCGACAUCGUGCUGGUCGAUGCCGCGGCG
This 84-nucleotide transfer RNA is filed under the name Rhodoplanes serenus. RNAcentral describes it as "tRNA-Ala(cgc)". Lineage: Bacteria; Pseudomonadati; Pseudomonadota; Alphaproteobacteria; Hyphomicrobiales; Nitrobacteraceae. The record is from RNAcentral. RNAcentral also lists the same sequence under 1 other name.